RNAcentral lists this transfer RNA (83 nucleotides) under Candidatus Riesia pthiripubis. Its description in RNAcentral is "tRNA-Tyr". It matches the Rfam family "tRNA". Rfam says of the family: Transfer RNA (tRNA) molecules are approximately 80 nucleotides in length. Their secondary structure includes four short double-helical elements and three loops (D, anti-codon, and T loops). Further hydrogen bonds mediate the characteristic L-shaped molecular structure. tRNAs have two regions of fundamental functional importance: the anti-codon, which is responsible for specific mRNA codon recognition, and the 3' end, to which the tRNAs corresponding amino acid is attached (by aminoacyl-tRNA synthetases). tRNAs cope with the degeneracy of the genetic code in two manners: having more than one tRNA (with a specific anti-codon) for a particular amino acid; and 'wobble' base-pairing, i.e. permitting non-standard base-pairing at the 3rd anti-codon position. The record is from RNAcentral. Lineage: Bacteria; Pseudomonadati; Pseudomonadota; Gammaproteobacteria; Enterobacterales; Enterobacteriaceae. RNAcentral also lists the same sequence under 1 other name.
GGUGGGAUUCCUGAGUGGUUAAAGGGAGCAGACUGUAAAUUUGCCGUCAAAAGACUUCGAAGGUUCGAAUCCUUCUCCCACCA